UCAAGCUUGCUAGGAUUUUUUCCCCCUUCGAAACCCUCAUAUCAAUUCAGACUAGAGGCUAAAUCGAGGACAAGAAAGAAGGGAGGUUCUGGUGUCACUAGCUCGCUUCAGUUUGUCGUUUGACUGAACGAGGUAGCGAAAUUUGCCCAAUCCGGGCCUAACCUGAACCUAACCAAGUAGGACUUGAUGCCCCCGUACAUGAUUGUCCUCACAGGAAUCCUCUGUUGAACACCAGCGCAUUCAGACACGGAAGUCGGCUGAUGUAUGUUGGUGGUUUCAUGCAACUCCUCAUUCGGCCAGCAGAGGGCAGCAGAAGACACUCUGUUACCUCAUUCGGCCCGUGUGUCCUGCUCUACCAUCAGCGCGGACCCAGAUGAAGAUGUAGGGUGUAGUCCAAGGUCAGCGGUAAUGGAUCCUAGCCACACAGAGAGACCUGGAGAGGGGACCUGCGGAGGCGGCUUCUGAAUGUCGUGCUGACAGAGGGUGACUCACCUUUGACCUUUAGCGACCUCUGACCUUGAGGCCGCACUCAAAGGCCAUUGCUUGACCGUGGAGGGUCACGUUGGGGUCCCUAUGGUCUGGUAAGUGUUCUUCACAGCUAUGAACUCAGCCAAGCUAAGGCUGGAGCUAGCAGCCGGAGUUAGUGACCGUACUUACCUUUUUGUGCAACAAAAAUAGGCAAUGUUCGUGGAAUUUAAGCGCACAUAGCAAUUACUUCAAAAUGUA
Molecule: long non-coding RNA, 726 nt
Organism: Anguilla anguilla (European eel)
Lineage: Eukaryota; Metazoa; Chordata; Actinopteri; Anguilliformes; Anguillidae
Exons: 3
Source: RefSeq, a predicted model, not a curated record